RNAcentral lists this ribosomal RNA (253 nucleotides) under Glaesserella parasuis. Its description in RNAcentral is "partial 16S ribosomal RNA". It matches the Rfam family "Bacterial small subunit ribosomal RNA", at positions 1280 to 1533 of the family's 1533-position model. The record is from RNAcentral. Lineage: Bacteria; Pseudomonadati; Pseudomonadota; Gammaproteobacteria; Pasteurellales; Pasteurellaceae.
AGUGCAUCUAAGUCCGGAUUGGAGUCUGCAACUCGACUCCAUGAAGUCGGAAUCGCUAGUAAUCGCGAAUCAGAAUGUCGCGGUGAAUACGUUCCCGGGCCUUGUACACACCGCCCGUCACACCAUGGGAGUGGGUUGUACCAGAAGUAGAUAGCUUAACUGAAAGGGGGCGUUUACCACGGUAUGAUUCAUGACUGGGGUGAAGUCGUAACAAGGUAACCGUAGGGGAACCUGCGGUUGGAUCACCUCCUUA